Molecule: ribosomal RNA, 569 nt
Filed under: Bacillus proteolyticus
Lineage: Bacteria; Bacillati; Bacillota; Bacilli; Caryophanales; Bacillaceae
Description: bacterial SSU rRNA
Rfam family: Bacterial small subunit ribosomal RNA
Source: RNAcentral
GACAUGUGGUUUAUUCGAAGCAACGCGAAGAACCUUACCAGGUCUUGACAUCCUCUGACAACCCUAGAGAUAGGGCUUCCCCUUCGGGAACAGAGUGACAGGUGGUGCAUGGUUGUCGUCAGCUCGUGUCGUGAGAUGUUGGGUUAAGUCCCGCAACGAGCGCAACCCUUGAUCUUAGUUGCCAUCAUUAAGUUGGGCACUCUAAGGUGACUGCCGGUGACAAACCGGAGGAAGGUGGGGAUGACGUCAAAUCAUCAUGCCCCUUAUGACCUGGGCUACACACGUGCUACAAUGGACGGAACAAAGAGCUGCAAGACCGCGAGGUGGAGCUAAUCUCAUAAAACCGUUCUCAGUUCGGAUUGUAGGCUGCAACUCGACUGCAUGAAGCUGGAAUCGCUAGUAAUCGCGGAUCAGCAUGCCGCGGUGAAUACGUUCCCGGGCCUUGUACACACCGCCCGUCACACCACGAGAGUUUGUAACACCCGAAGUCGGUGAGGUAACCUUUUUGGAGCCAGCCGCCUAAGGUGGGACAGAUGAUUGGGGUGAAGUCGUAACAAGGGUAGCCGUAA